CGUUUUGUUGUCGCUCGAGUAGCACGUCGAGGGUCUCGCGGUCGGUGUCCGGUGAUGGUGUACCAGUGAACGUGGUCGACCACGUCUCAGAAUGCACGCGCUAUUUGGAGAGCAGAACCCGUACGCUUACCGCGGCGGCAGCGGCGGCGGCUACUCCGGCGGAGUGGCGCCUUACAGCUACGAGCAGUACCGCUACGGGUACGGAGCUCCCUACCUGCACCCGCACCAGCAGCACGGCGCGCCCAAGGACAUGGUGAAGCCGCCCUACUCGUACAUCGCGCUCAUCGCCAUGGCUAUCCAGAACGCGCCCGACCGCCGCAUCACGCUCAACGGCAUCUACCAGUUCAUCAUGGAGCGCUUCCCUUACUACCGCGAGAACAAGCAAGGGUGGCAGAACUCGAUCCGACACAACCUUAGCUUGAACGAGUGCUUCGUCAAAGUCGCAAGAGAUGACAAGAAGCCCGGUAAGGGCAGUUAUUGGACUCUGGACCCGGAUUCGUACAAUAUGUUCGACAACGGUUCCUACUUACGGCGGCGACGUCGGUUCAAAAAGAAAGACGCGCUCAAGGAGAAAGAGGAAGCUUUAAAGAGACAGCAACAGCUGCAGCAGGCGCACGAGGUGCUGGCGGCGCAGGAGGCGCUCGGGAGCGCGGAUGCGCUGGGCCAGUCGCGCGACGUGAAGCCGGACGUGAAGCCGAGGAUAUUCGAGUGUCGGCCGAAGAGGGAGCCCGGGGCCGAGUGCGCGCGCUUCGAGCGGCCGGGAGACUCCCUGGAAGAGUUCGGCGAGGCGCGGUUGGCGCCGGGCGCGGGCGCCGUGUACUGCUCGCCGCAGCCCUACGAGGAGUUCCGCGCGGCGGCGGGCGGCUGGUACGCCGCCGAGGGCCCCGCCGACCACCUGCCGCCCUCGUUCCGCGACCUGUUCGAGGCGCCCAGCUGCCAGCUGGCCGGCCUGCCCGCGCACCACCACUACCGCGCGGCCGGGCCCUACUACCACCAGCAGGCCUGCAUCGCCGCCGCGCCAUCGGCCCCGCACAAGUCCUACUGAGCCCGCUCCCCCAGGAGGGUCGCACCCGGCGCCACCUGACCGUGUCCGCGCCGCUGUCGCCGCCGCCGUCACCGGAGCGGGAGGAUGGGUCCUCCCGCCUCCAAUAUAUCCGUAAGAGGCGGCGACCACUGCGGGAGCCCUGCCACUGCAAGCACUGCGGGUGAACAACUGAACAGUGAACAGUGAACUGUCACAAGUACAGUAGACCGCAGACAUAGAGGCAGCACGGCGCUGAGUGAAUGUUCUGUGACCAUCGACUAGCUUCAUUAGAGUUUCAGAAAGGUAGUUUUAGUGCCAGAAGACUUAAUAAUAUUAUGUAUAUUUGUUGAAUGGUGAGUUUAUGUAUAGAUGUAAGUGUUGUGUGAGCGUUAAAUGUUAACUUGUCAAGUUUCACGUCCGCGUCGACGUGAAGCUUGGCUGGUAGUGCGUGUAGCGAUUGUAUUAUUACAUGAUUGUAUAUAAGAGUACCUAUUAAAUAUGUGUGUACCAAUAACUAUGUCACUAACGGCCACUUUCAAUUUUCGAUCCUUUGUUCAAGAUUAUUUUAAUCCAAAUAUAUACUCAUCAUUUUUUCAUAACACGCCUGAAAAAGUAUAACUUCAAAAAUGAUUUGAUAAUAGAUCACCAUAACAAAUUCACAGACUGGUUAUUAAGUUGGUAAGUGUAAAAAAUGGGUUUAUAGAUCAAUCUCAGAUCGCAAAUUAUAGAAAGCGGCCGUUCAUAGAACUAUUGACGCUACGGCUAUACUUCCUACUGUAAUAUGGCAACAGCUAUGGCACUAAGUAAAGUAUUAUUUAGUAAUAUUAGUAAGCCACGGCAAUUAUUUACAGUAAUGUUUAAACAUGAUAUACGGCUGUAUGGUCCGGCGGCGCUCUUUGUUCGUACAUCAUUACCUAGACGUAACCUCAUCACUUCCCGACAAACCGUUCACCGUACUUAUUGCCAAAGCUAUUGGUGUUACACAGCUGUAGACGGUGAGGUGAUGUGGCUGCAACGUUAAAGUUCAAACAAUGUGACUUUAAUGCAUUUUUCUAGUCUUUUUCGUUUGUGUACGUUCUUAUGUUUAAAUAUAAGUAUUGUAUAAUAUUUCGUAGAUUGGAAUAACUCUUAUAUUACUGAUCAUUUAGUCCAGAGAAAAUAACAACAAUCUUAUUCAAAUAAUCAGAUGAUAAUAUAAUAUCAUAGUAUUUAUCAUACGACGUUAUUAAAAUAAAAUCAUCUACAAAGAUUGUUAAUUGGUGACAGUCGGUGACUAUUUUAUUAUAGGCAUUUAAUUAAAUGAAAAACUACAUGAGUUUAAAGCUUUAGUGUUCCUGUAUUAGUAGCGAUUGUAACAACAUGAAUCUUUGGGAUUUUAAUAUUAUCCAAUGCUAUUCUGAUUAUAGGCAUUUUACACAAAUUUUUAGUCGUAUGUAAAAUUUUGUAUAUUUAUAUUUAAGAAGAAACUUGGCUAUAUUUAUUGAUAUUCAAUCUGUUAUAUUACGAAGCCAAUAUAAAAGUAAUCUUUAUAAAGUAGUACUUUAUAUAAAAAUACGUCAGUAAAGGUAUCCACAUACUUGAGUAGGUAGAGUUAGGCCUAGGAUAACUACAGAUAUUAAUCACAAUUUCAUCAUUUAUUUAAACAUUGAACAUAAUUAUGAUGUAAUUCUCACACACUCAAUCAAUUUUGAAAGUUUCAAAAGUUAAACAACCUUAAUACUACUUAUAUUCUUUGAUAGCUCCAUUUUUGAAGUACCUACAAAGUGAAAAAGUGAUUCUAGAAGAAAGCCUCGAGUAAUUGGCUUAUUAUAAUUAUAUAAAAUAUGCGUUGACGAUGGUGCUUUCAUGCGUGAGCGAGAGGGAGAUUAAUAGGUCACUGACCGAAAUUAUUUCUACAUCGCGACGGCCUUUCAUUUGAAUUUCAAAUCAACUUUUCUAAAGUUUGGUGGUUCGUUUCGGCCCUUAGAGUCCAUCCCGAUACUAGAUCAGGUGAGUUAAAGCUGCAGGUCCGCGAAGCCAUUCCCAUCAACACCAGUUUCCUUGUGACUUUAUUUUCACUCUUUGGUUAUUGUAUUUAGUUCCAUAAAAUCACGGCAUUACAUUUAUAUAAUAUUUAGAAAGUUGUCGCUUAGUACAAAAUAAGGCUAUAUUUAUAAUAAAUGUAUGUACAACUAUUACUUCUACAAUAGAUGUAUGUAUAAUUAUUUAAUUAAUGACUUUGUGAUAAUUAUGUUAA
Molecule: RNA transcript, 3260 nt
Organism: Leptidea sinapis
Lineage: Eukaryota; Metazoa; Arthropoda; Insecta; Lepidoptera; Pieridae
Gene: croc
Gene name: fork head domain-containing protein crocodile-like
Exons: 3
Source: RefSeq, a predicted model, not a curated record